GAUUCCUCUAGUAACGGCGAGCGAAGGAGGAAGAGCCCAGCACCGAAUCCUUCACCAUCUCGGUGACAGGAAAUGUGGUGUUUAGGCCGUACCUUGUCCCGACACGUCUCUCCUCAAGUCCACUUGAUUGUGGCCCCAGGCCCAGAGAGGGUGUAAGGCCCGUGGAGGCGAGACGUUCGGUACCUGGUGCGUCCUUAGAGUCGGGUUGUUUGGGAAUGCAGCCCUAAGCGGGUGGUAAACUCCAUCCAAGGCUAAAUACCAGCACGAGUCCGAUAGCGAAGAAGUACCGCGAGGGAAGGUUGAAAAGAACUUUGAAGAGAGAGUUCAAGAGUACGUGAAACCGCUGAGAGGCAAACUGGUGGAACUGAAAUGGUCCCGAGGAAUUCAGCCGUUGGUCGUUGCACAGUCUUUGGUGAUUGAUCUAACGACGGCGCCAUUGAAUGACGUUUCGAUCAUCGGUGCACUUUCCUCGCCUGGGCCCGACCACGACCGGUGAGCUGAUCUGUCUGUCGUGCUUGGAAGAUAGCGCCGUCUUCGGAAGGCGUGUUAUAGACAGGCAUACGGAGCAGUCGGCGCACUGGAUGAUAGUGCCUGCCCAUCUGGGCUCAUAUGGUGGUUGUUUUGUUGGCGAGUUCUGAUGUCACUACUUCGGUAGAGUCGUUAGACUCUGUUGGCAUUAUGGCUGUCCUCUAUGAUUGGCACUGUUAAGUCUGUGGUUGUGAAGUAGGUAGUCCACCUGACCCGUCUUGAAACACGGACCAAGGAGUCUAACAUGUGCGCGAGUCAUUGGGUUCACGAAACCUAAAGGCGCAGUGAAGGUAAAGAUCUGUUUUGGCAGAUUGAGGUGGGAUGCCGGGUUACGCGCCCGGCCGCACUACCGGCCCGUUCUAUAUGUCUUUCAUAGGAGCGGAGCAAGAGCGUACACGUUGGGACCCGAAAGAUGGUGAACUAUGCUUGCGCAGGU
RNAcentral lists this ribosomal RNA (964 nucleotides) under Thysanozoon brocchii. RNAcentral's name for it is "partial large subunit ribosomal RNA". It matches the Rfam family "Eukaryotic large subunit ribosomal RNA", at positions 73 to 846 of the family's 3401-position model. Lineage: Eukaryota; Metazoa; Platyhelminthes; Polycladida; Pseudocerotidae. The record is from RNAcentral.